GGGCACAUGGUGUAGUUGGUUAUCACGCCCGCUUAGCAUUUAGGUGUGCUUGCGGGCGGUGCCCGGUUCAAUUCCGGGUGUGUCCA
RNAcentral lists this transfer RNA (86 nucleotides) under Termitomyces sp. T159_Od127. RNAcentral describes it as "tRNA-Ala". It matches the Rfam family "tRNA". Rfam says of the family: Transfer RNA (tRNA) molecules are approximately 80 nucleotides in length. Their secondary structure includes four short double-helical elements and three loops (D, anti-codon, and T loops). Further hydrogen bonds mediate the characteristic L-shaped molecular structure. tRNAs have two regions of fundamental functional importance: the anti-codon, which is responsible for specific mRNA codon recognition, and the 3' end, to which the tRNAs corresponding amino acid is attached (by aminoacyl-tRNA synthetases). tRNAs cope with the degeneracy of the genetic code in two manners: having more than one tRNA (with a specific anti-codon) for a particular amino acid; and 'wobble' base-pairing, i.e. permitting non-standard base-pairing at the 3rd anti-codon position. Lineage: Eukaryota; Fungi; Basidiomycota; Agaricomycetes; Agaricales; Lyophyllaceae. The record is from RNAcentral.